UACGUAGGCUCCAAGCGUUGUUCGGAAUUACUGGGCGUAAAGCGAGUGUAGGCGGUCCGUCAAGUCGAUUGUGAAAUCUCCCGGCUCAACUGGGAGGGUGCGGUCGAAACUGACGGACUAGAGUUCGGGAGAGGAGAGUGGAAUUCCUGGUGUAGCGGUGAAAUGCGUAGAUAUCAGGAGGAACACCGGUGGUGAAGACGGCUCUCUGGACCGAUACUGACGCUGAGACUCGAAAGCGUGGGUAGCAAAC
This 250-nucleotide ribosomal RNA is filed under the name uncultured bacterium. Its description in RNAcentral is "partial 16S ribosomal RNA". It matches the Rfam family "Bacterial small subunit ribosomal RNA", at positions 524 to 773 of the family's 1533-position model. The record is from RNAcentral.